RNAcentral lists this long non-coding RNA (320 nucleotides) under Bos taurus (domestic cattle). RNAcentral describes it as "long non-coding RNA NONBTAT025131". Lineage: Eukaryota; Metazoa; Chordata; Mammalia; Artiodactyla; Bovidae. The record is from RNAcentral.
UUUAGAUGACCUCCUCUGACAGCCACAAGUUCAGUAGGACAUCAUCUUUUUCUUACUUUAUCAGCAUUGCAAAUAUAUAGCCUCUGGGUAAUUGUAUCUUCCAUCUUUACAGCUCCUGAUAUUGGUUACUUUGCCUGUGACCACAGGUCAGUGUCAAAUAGUUUAGGCUUUGUUACACCGGGAACACAUUUCGUGCUGUAUGUAUAUAGAAUGUAGAUGAGAUGAGCUUUUAGUUCUGUCUCAACCAAAUUGCUUACAUCUCACACUGCAUAUUUUGUGGUUCUUGGAGUUUAUUUAUUUAUAGAGUAAACUUUCUAUUA